UAUUUUAAUGGCCGCAGUAUUUUGACUGUGCAAAGGUAGCAUAAUCAUUAGUUCAUUAAUUGUGAACUUGUAUGAAUGGUUGGACGAGAUAUUAACUGUCUUUUAUUUAAUUUUAGAAUUUAAAUUUUUAGUUAAAAUGCUUAAAUUUUUUUAUAGGACGAGAAGACCCUAUAGAUCUUUAUUAUAUAUUUAUAUUAAUUGAUUUUUUUAUUUUUUUUUAUUAUUAUUUGUUUUUUUGUUGGGGUGAUAUUUAGAUUAAUUUAACUCUUUUUAUUUUUAUUCAAUUAUAUUUGUUUAUUUGACCUUUUAAUAUUGUUAUAAGAUAUAGAUACCUUAGGGAUAACAGCGUUAUUAUAAUUGAGAGUUCAUAUCGACAUUAUAGAUUGCGACCUCGAUGUUGGAUUAAGAAUAUAUUUAGGUGUAGGUGCUUAAUUAAUAAGUCUGUUCGACUUUUAAAUUCUUACAUGAUCUGAGUC
Molecule: ribosomal RNA, 476 nt
Filed under: Necrosciinae sp. 2 SB-2021
Lineage: Eukaryota; Metazoa; Arthropoda; Insecta; Phasmatodea; Lonchodidae
Description: partial large subunit ribosomal RNA
Rfam family: Bacterial large subunit ribosomal RNA (bases 339-476)
Source: RNAcentral